GGAGAGAUGGCUGAGCGGACGAAAGCGCUGGUCUCGAAAACCAGUAUAGGGGCAACUCUAUCGUGGGUUCGAAUCCCACUCUCUCCGCCA
This 90-nucleotide transfer RNA is filed under the name Chloroflexota bacterium. Its description in RNAcentral is "tRNA-Ser". It matches the Rfam family "tRNA". Rfam says of the family: Transfer RNA (tRNA) molecules are approximately 80 nucleotides in length. Their secondary structure includes four short double-helical elements and three loops (D, anti-codon, and T loops). Further hydrogen bonds mediate the characteristic L-shaped molecular structure. tRNAs have two regions of fundamental functional importance: the anti-codon, which is responsible for specific mRNA codon recognition, and the 3' end, to which the tRNAs corresponding amino acid is attached (by aminoacyl-tRNA synthetases). tRNAs cope with the degeneracy of the genetic code in two manners: having more than one tRNA (with a specific anti-codon) for a particular amino acid; and 'wobble' base-pairing, i.e. permitting non-standard base-pairing at the 3rd anti-codon position. RNAcentral also lists the same sequence under 1 other name. The record is from RNAcentral. Lineage: Bacteria; Bacillati; Chloroflexota.